GACGAACGCUGGCGGCGUGCUUAACACAUGCAAGUCGAACGAUGAAGAAGAGAAACGCGAACUUCGGUUCAAAUUUCACUUCGGAUUAGUGGCAGACGGGUGAGUAACGCGUGAGCAACCUACCUCUUACAAAGGGAUAGCCUCGGGAAACCGUGAUUAAUACCAUAUGACACAUUCAUAAGGCAUCUUAAGAAUGUUAAAGCUACGGCGGUAAGAGAUGGGCUCGCGUCCCAUUAGCUAGUUGGUGAGGUAACGGCCCACCAAGGCGACGAUGGGUAACCGGCCUGAGAGGGUGAACCGUCACAUUGGAACUGAGACACGGUCCAAACUCCUACGGGAGGCAGCAGUGGGGAAUAUUGCACAAUGGAGGGAACUCUGAUGCAGCGACGCCGCGUGAGCGAUGAAGGAAUUCGUUUCGUAAAGCUCUGUUCUAUGGGAAGAAAAGGACUGUACCAUAGGAGAAAGCCCCGGCUAACUACGUG
Molecule: ribosomal RNA, 482 nt
Filed under: uncultured bacterium
Lineage: Bacteria
Description: partial 16S ribosomal RNA
Rfam family: Bacterial small subunit ribosomal RNA
Source: RNAcentral